UCUUCUGAACAGAAUCCAUUUGAAACACACUGAACACCCCAGUUCAUGCUUAGUUUCAGAAGUUAAGCAGGGACAGGCCUGGUUACUACUUGAUGGGAGACCAUCAGAUACAGGGUUAGGAAAAC
RNAcentral lists this ribosomal RNA (125 nucleotides) under Pogona vitticeps (central bearded dragon). Lineage: Eukaryota; Metazoa; Chordata; Lepidosauria; Squamata; Agamidae. The record is from RNAcentral.